CCUACGGGGUGCAGCAGUAGGGAAUAUUGCUCAAUGGGGGAAACCCUGAAGCAGCAACGCCGCGUGGAGGAUGAAGGUUUUCGGAUUGUAAACUCCUUUUGUUAGAGAAGAUAAUGCCGGUAUUUAACGACUCAGCACCGGCCAAUUCCGUCCCAGCAGCCGCGGUAUUACGGAGGGCGCAAACGUUACUCGGAAUGACUGGGCGUAACGAGCGCGUAGGUGGGAUGGCAAGUCAGAUGUGAAAUCCUAUGGCUUAACCAUAGAACUGCAUUUGAGACUGUUAGUCUAGAGUAUGGGAGAGGUGGGGGGAAUUCGUGGUGUAGGGGUAAAAUCCGUAGAGAUCAAGAGGAAUACUCAGUGCGAAGGCGACCUGCUAGAACAUAACUGACGCUGAGGCGCGAAAGCGUGGGGAGCAAACAGGAUUAGAUACCCGAGUAGUC
Molecule: ribosomal RNA, 440 nt
Filed under: uncultured bacterium
Lineage: Bacteria
Description: partial 16S ribosomal RNA
Rfam family: Bacterial small subunit ribosomal RNA
Source: RNAcentral